UCCCCUUCAGUUGUGCUCGAGCUUUUCUCCAUCUUCAUUCUUCUGUUUCGCCAUAAAAUCACUUCAUCACUGUGUGUUACGUUCUUGGCCUUCUGGCUUGCCUGCCUCGCUCUAACGCUCCUGCAUGGCUAAUCUCUCAAUAUAGCAGCAAUAUCAGGUGAAGAUCCAAGAAGUUUCAUGGUACGCUAGUAGCUUCCAAUUAACCCUAGCAAUACCCAAGGGACUUUCGAAGUUUCUUCCACCCCACCCCCCCCCCCACACACACGCGCGCGCGCGCGCGCACACACACACACUAGCCGUGAUGUGGUUUCUAGAUGCAUUCACUUCGAUCUGAUCGAUGAAGGGCGGGAUCGGAUGAUCGCUAUCUGGUAUGUAAAUAUCUUUCUUGUUACAUGCAUGCAUCAAAUAUGAUCUACUAUUCCCUCAAAUAAAAUGAUCUACUAUCGUUGAGUUUGAUCUACUCUUAAUUUCAGGAUUCUGUCAUUUCGAAGUUGUAGGUGAAGAGAGGGUAGAAAACCUUACUUCUAUAUAUGUGUCAGCAAGGCUCUAGCUACAACCAGACGAGAGCUCCAUACAUGCAUGAUCUGCAUGUGCAUAUAUCUUUGAUCAAUGGAAAGAGCGAUAUUGGUGAGGUUCAAUCCGAUGAUAGGU
This 651-nucleotide long non-coding RNA is filed under the name Sorghum bicolor (sorghum). Its description in RNAcentral is "long non-coding RNA (SBIC_LNC018283)". The record is from RNAcentral. Lineage: Eukaryota; Viridiplantae; Streptophyta; Magnoliopsida; Poales; Poaceae.